AUCAAUAUAAGGAACCUAAUAAGUCUUCCAUAAAAAGCUGUGGUGUCCACCUUGUAAUGCCACCCAAUGAAGACGUUUCUAUGAAGCUAAUCCGUGCAGAGAACCUCACCAGUGAACUUUCUCAUGAUGAACUUGAAAAGGACUUCUGGGACAAUUAUCGUCCCAAGUAGAGGACUGACUGCAAAGAAUUAUAUACCGAUGCACAACUGGAGAAUGAAAAGCUGUAAUUUUUACUGAUGCAGCAUAGCAUUGUCUGGACCAGUGUUACGAAUACAGAUUUGGGUUGAUGGGAACAAUUUUGAGUCGUUUCUUGUUGCUGUGGUGGUUUUGGAGGACAGGACAGCCAGCUGAACAUCAUUUCAUCGAUGACUGUGGAUCACUGUGUCAAAAUCUGAGGGCAAAAUAUGAACUUUGGAUGAGUUUCGAGAGGAUACAUGCAAGAUUGGCUGUCCCACUGUCC
This is a long non-coding RNA of Rosa chinensis, 460 nucleotides long. RefSeq lists it as uncharacterized. The record is from RefSeq and is a predicted model, not a curated record. The transcript is spliced from 4 exons. NCBI's taxonomy places the organism in Eukaryota, Viridiplantae, Streptophyta, Magnoliopsida, Rosales, Rosaceae.